This 1296-nucleotide ribosomal RNA is filed under the name uncultured bacterium. Its description in RNAcentral is "bacterial SSU rRNA". It matches the Rfam family "Bacterial small subunit ribosomal RNA", at positions 27 to 1381 of the family's 1533-position model. The record is from RNAcentral.
GAACGAACGCUGGCGGCAUGCUUAACACAUGCAAGUCGAACGAGACCUUCGGGUCUAGUGGCGCACGGGUGCGUAACGCGUGGGAAUCUGCCCUUUGCUACGGAAUAACUCAGAGAAAUUUGUGCUAAUACCGUAUAAUGUCGUAAGACCAAAGAUUUAUCGGCAAAGGAUGAGCCCGCGUAAGAUUAGCUUGUUGGUGAGGUAAGGGCUCACCAAGGCGACGAUCUUUAGCUGGUCUGAGAGGAUGAUCAGCCACACUGGGACUGAAACACGGUCCAUACACCUACGGGUGGCAGCAGUAGGGAAUAUUAGUAAUGGGCGAAAGCCUGAACUAGCAACGCCGCGUGUGCGAAGAAGGCCUUCGGGUCGUAAAGCACUUUUUGAGAGGAUGAGGAAGGACGGUACUCUCAGAAUAAGUCUCGGCUAACUACGUGCCAGCAGCCGCGGUAACACGUAGGAGGCAAACGUUAUCCGGAUUUACUGGGCGUAAAGCGCGUGUAGGUGGUUUGGUAAGUAGGGCGUGAAAGCUCCUGGCUCAACUGGGAGAGGACGUUCUAAACUGCCAAGCUUGAGGAUGGUAGAGGGAGGUGGAAUUCCGGGUGUAGCGGUGGAAUGCGCAGAUAUCCGGAGGAACACCAGUGGCGAAGGCGGCCUCCUGGACCACUCCUGACACUCAGACGCGAAAGCUAGGGUAGCAAACGGGAUUAGAGACCCCGGUAGUCCUAGCCCUAAACGAUGUAGACUUGGCGUCGGUGGUUUAAUCGCCAUCGGUGUCGUAGCUAACGCGAUAAGUCUACCGCCUGGGGACUACGGCCGCAAGGUUAAAACUCAAAGGAAUUGACGGGUCCCCGCACAAGCAGCGGAGCGUGUGGUUUAAUUCGAUGCUACACGAAGAACCUUACCUGGGUUUGACAUAGAGGUAGUAGGGAAGCGAAAGCGGACCGACCCUUCGGGGAGCCUCUACAGGUGUUGCAUGGCUGUCGUCAGCUCGUGUCGUGAGAUGUUCGGUUAAGUCCGCUAACGAGCGCAACCCUCGCUGUGUGUUACAAGUGUCACACGGUACUGCCGAUAUUAAGUCGGAGGAAGGUGGGGAUGACGUCAAGUCAGCAUGACCUUUAUAUCCAGGGCUACACACACGCUACAAUGGCCAGUACAAUGGGUUGCCAAGCCGCGAGGCGGAGCCAAUCCUAAAAAGCUGGCCUCAGUUCAGAUUGCAGUCUGCAACUCGACUGCAUGAAGUUGGAGUUGCUAGUAACCGCAGGUCAGCAAUACUGCGGUGAAUACGUUCCCGGGGAU